GACUCGUCACACUAUCAUUAACUGAAUCCAUAGGUUAAUGAGGCGAACCGGGGGAACUGAAACAUCUAAGUACCCCGAGGAAAAGAAAUCAACCGAGAUUCCCCCAGUAGCGGCGAGCGAACGGGGAGGAGCCCAGAGCCUGAAUCAGCAUGUGUGUUAGUGGAAGCGUCUGGAAAGGCGCGCGAUACAGGGUGACAGCCCCGUACACAAAAGCGCAUGUGCUGUGAGCUCGAUGAGUAGGGCGGGACACGUGGUAUCCUGUCUGAAUAUGGGGGGACCAUCCUCCAAGGCUAAAUACUCCUGACUGACCGAUAGUGAACCAGUACCGUGAGGGAAAGGCGAAAAGAACCCCGGCGAGGGGAGUGAAAAAGAACCUGAAACCGUGUACGUACAAGCAGUGGGAGCCCCACCACUAAGCCAGUGGUGAACUCCACAUACGCAUCCUUUGCUGAGGAUACGGUUAACGGAGCGAAAGCGACGUUCAACCGCAAAAGAAGCAGAGGGGGCUUAGUGGUGGGGUGACUGCGUACCUUUUGUAUAAUGGGUCAGCGACUUAUAUUCUGUAGCAA
This 569-nucleotide ribosomal RNA is filed under the name Salmonella enterica subsp. enterica. RNAcentral's name for it is "partial 23S ribosomal RNA". It matches the Rfam family "Bacterial large subunit ribosomal RNA", at positions 137 to 643 of the family's 2925-position model. Lineage: Bacteria; Pseudomonadati; Pseudomonadota; Gammaproteobacteria; Enterobacterales; Enterobacteriaceae. The record is from RNAcentral.